CUUGGAUCAAACUGUGAUGAGAGGGACUUCAUAGACUUCACUUGUCCCUGGUUUGUAACAUGGUCAUGAUUGUUGGGACCCUGGACAGCACCAGUCACUUUUCACUCUCCGAGGCUAGAACAAAAGGAACUGGGGACCUGAAGAAGAGGCCAAGCAGUAAGUAUAGCUGCCUUGUUCCGGAAGAUACCCCUGCUCCUCCUAAAGAGCGUAGUCAUCCAUACAGCAGACUUCUUUCAAGCUGGGGUCAAGGCCUCUGCUCUCAGAGGAAGCGUGUCAACAUCUCUUCCCCCGGUUGCCCCUCACAUCAUGGCAACCACUCACAACACAUGUUUAUCUGGAGAGCCCCGGUCAGCAACAUGCUCAGACAAGCUGAACAGAAGUCUCUGCUGUGUGCAGGAGAAUGGAGUUUUUGGCGUGCCCUGUGGCCCUGA
RNAcentral lists this long non-coding RNA (431 nucleotides) under Chinchilla lanigera (long-tailed chinchilla). RNAcentral's name for it is "lncRNA (ENSCLAG00000024943.1)". The record is from RNAcentral. Lineage: Eukaryota; Metazoa; Chordata; Mammalia; Rodentia; Chinchillidae.